GGAGAGGUGGCCGAGAGGCUGAAGGCAGCUGCCUGCUAAGCAGUUGUGGGGGUAACUCCACCCCGGGUUCGAAUCCCGGCCUCUCCGCCA
This 90-nucleotide transfer RNA is filed under the name Nitrospirota bacterium. Its description in RNAcentral is "Nitrospirae bacterium (biofilm metagenome) tRNA-Ser". It matches the Rfam family "tRNA". Rfam says of the family: Transfer RNA (tRNA) molecules are approximately 80 nucleotides in length. Their secondary structure includes four short double-helical elements and three loops (D, anti-codon, and T loops). Lineage: Bacteria; Pseudomonadati; Nitrospirota. RNAcentral also lists the same sequence under 1 other name. The record is from RNAcentral.